GUCUUGUUAGCUGCCAUUCCUGGGAAGGAGAAAGUGUCUUUAUAGAUAGGCAUGUCAAGGACAAAUAAUGGAGCUGAAAUGCAAGGGUGGAUGGCAAAUAAAUUGCAUCUUGUGAACUACCUCCAACUAAUUUCUGCCUGGAGCACUGUGUUUAAACGGAUUCCUAGGCCACAUCUGGAGGGACCCGAGGGGAAAAAAAAAAAAAAAGAGAUGUAACAAAGGUCCGUGGAAGAGUUGUCUUCAAGAAAACUGCUCUCUGGUGCCAAAAGUUUGGGGACCGCUCGUGUAAAUGCUUCUAAGAAUAGUUAAGCAACUUAUGCUUUACAUGCUACAAAGAAUACAGGUUUAAAUGCUAAUAAAAUAGGUGCAAAUGAAAACACUCUUUCUGUGGUCCAGGGAAUCUUAACCAUUCUAUCAGAAAGACUUGCAGCUUGGAGCUGCAGCUGCCCUCCCACAUCUUGUCCACUGUAAAGCCCUGCAACACACACACACACGCACACACACACACACACGUACACACAUACACAUGCAUAUACUUGCACACACACGCACACACACAUGCACACAGAUGCACAUACAUAAAUACAUUCACAUGUAUAUACUUGCACACACACACGCACAUAGAUACAUACACAUGCAUAUACCUGCACACACACACACAGACACACACACAUGCUGUGCUUCAUGCCCUCACUAGGGUGGCCUGGGAGGAAAUGCGUGCUUUUAGGAGAAAUGAAGACAACUCAGGCCCCUCAUUCUCCUGAUGUUUGCACAAGUGCCUCCUCUGCAGACCAGGCUUCAGUCUCUUUCUUGGUUCUCCCUCUUACUGAAAGAGAGAAGCAGAGGCCCAGCACCUACUCGGCUGCUUAGGGCUCAAGCCAAGUUCGCAAGCUUCCUGGGGAGCCUAGUAAGAUGAAGGCACUGCAGAGCUUCCCCAAAAGAGGCGUCGGCUUUUCAUGGAUCCUUGAGCCCAGCAAGGCAAUAAGUGAGACAUCACAGUUCAUCAGAAGACACAAGCAAACUCCGCCUCCUCUGUCUCUCUCCUUAUCUCUCUUCCUCUCUCUCUCUCUCUGUCUCACUCCCUUCUCCCCAUAUCUCUUUCUCUCUCCUUCUUUUCCACUCCUCUCUCCCUCCUCAUCUCUCUGCCUGCCACUGUUCAGGCUCCUGGGGCCCCACGUGGAUGGGCGGACACAGGA
Long non-coding RNA from Symphalangus syndactylus (siamang), 1196 nucleotides. RefSeq lists it as uncharacterized. Lineage: Eukaryota; Metazoa; Chordata; Mammalia; Primates; Hylobatidae. The record is from RefSeq and is a predicted model, not a curated record.